CCUGGAUAUGGCACAUACUUGUAACCCCUGCUACCAGGGAGGCUGAAUCUAAUGGAUCACAUAAGUUCUGAGCUGCAGUGGGCUAAGCUUAUGAGGUGUCUAUGCUAAGUGUGGCACCAGUAUGGCGAGCCCCUGGGAGCAGGGUCCACUGGGCUUCCUAAGGAGGGGAAAAUCUGGCCAGGAUCAGAAGUAGAGGAGGUCAGAGCUCCUGUACCAAUCAGUAAUGGGUUCAGGCCCAUGAGUGGCCACUGCUCUUCUAGCCUGGGUGAAAUAGGGACACCCAGUUUCC
RNAcentral lists this signal recognition particle RNA (289 nucleotides) under Phascolarctos cinereus (koala). RNAcentral describes it as "Metazoan signal recognition particle RNA (ENSPCIG00000010976.2)". It matches the Rfam family "Metazoan signal recognition particle RNA". Rfam says of the family: The signal recognition particle (SRP) is a universally conserved ribonucleoprotein. It is involved in the co-translational targeting of proteins to membranes. Lineage: Eukaryota; Metazoa; Chordata; Mammalia; Diprotodontia; Phascolarctidae. The record is from RNAcentral.